UACUCACAAUUGGAGUUAUGGGAGCUCAGCAUCUCCGAAAAAUCAGACCACUUAUUUAGGUGCCUAUCUUUAGGCACCCAUGUUUGAAAACGUUGGCCUAAGUCUGUGUUUUACUAUAUCCUCCCCUGCUAAAGGAAGAACUAAUGGUAGAGUGGGAUUGCCAGGUGGUGUGACUGCCAAAUCUUGUGAAAAACAGAUUCUUAGGAAGAGUGUGUUCCCCCCAUUCAUACCACCCACAAAGCAAUGGCCACAUAAUUAUGCCUUUGACUGGGGCCCUGCGCUAGCAGCAGACAUGCAUUCUCCAUGGUGUUUUCAAGCUGUAGAGGGAGGAAUUAUUGAUUCCUGGAACAGAGUAGACUAUGUUUUAUUUUUCAGUGUAACUUAUUGGCUCUGGAGAGACCAGGGCAUAUGGAUUGACUAUUCCCUAAAUCUUCCCAUAUCAGGUUUUCCAUGCACUCUCUCUCAUCCCCCAUUCAUGUAGAGCUCACCAUGCAUGUUGUGGCCACAGAAGGGCUAGAGAGUUGUACAGAGUGAGCAGGAUAUAGUGUUAAACCAGCUAUUUUUCCCUUCCUAGCAACUCUCUUCACCCAUUUUCCAUGGAUUUACUCUCCUCUGCACCAUUCAGCACAGUGGAACACGUGGCCAUUUGUUAUUGUAGAACAUACCUUAAAGAUAUGUUUGUGGUAAUAAAAAGAAAACAUCUCUCACAGCUAAAGUUUCCACUGACAUAAUUGUUAUCAGUGAUUACCCUGCACAUUCCAGGAAGUUUUCAGAUAGUAUAGAAGGCUAACCAGAGUCAUACAAACAAUUGUGGAACAACACUGGCAUUCACUGAUGCUAAACUGGAUGCUGGAGUAUUAGCCACUUUUAACUUUAACAAGUACUGGAUAUAUAACUGACACAUAAACAACACAUUAAAUAUGCCAGCUGGAACACUGACAAGUGAAGAAAGGAAGGAGGGGAAAGAGCUUAGAUAUUUUAAGUGAUCAUCUGAACAAGUAUUGCCCCAACUUAUUGUUCUUCUAUUUACCUUAAAAUUCUUCAUAAAAGGCUAUUUAUACUUGAAAUAUUUGACAGACUAUUUAGAUUUAGCUGGAUAAUACCAACAGUUGUGAAACACAGUAUUUAAUUUAUUACUGCUUAAUAUGUUGAACCAGCAUACCUGGGACUACAAGUUAAAAUUCCAUAGAAGAGUAUAUAAAGGAAUCCAAGACCUUCCUACAGAGGAGAAAUACACACUGCCACUUGACAGCAUUUAAUUUGUAACAAACUUACUGGUUAUAUCUGCCAAUGUUUUUCUGACAGUUGUAUGCUCUAUAUUUACUACUGCUAAGAAAUUUUGCUGAGUUGUUUGUGAAGUUUAAGAACAUUUAGGAAAGUAUGGUGUCUAAAAAAACCAAAACAAUGGGUUUGAUAUCAAUUUUUUCCAUUUAUUAUUUGUAUUAUAGUUUCAUCCCAAGGUCCAAAUGAGAUCAAGGCCCUGUGGUUCUGAGCAUUGUACAGAUACACAGUAAGAAACAGGUCCUGCCUCAAAGAGUUUACAGUUUAGAUUAAGACAAAACAUAACAAAAGGAUAGAAGAAACAGAUGGAGGGAAUGGAGAACACAAGUAACAUGAACACAUGAUUGCAUAGAUUAACUAUGGACAUAAUUUGCAGGGUAUUUUUAAAGUAUUAAUAAAUAAGAUAAUGAUAUCAGUUAUCCCAGCUGGCCACCUGUUUAUCCAUUAUCAGCUGGCAAUUUAUUGUAGGCAUGGAUCACGGCAGAAGUAGGUGUGAUGCUGGCAGACUAGGUGCCAACUCAUGCCAACGGCCCAGGCCCUCAUUGAACACUGGCAAGUGCAUAACUGGAAACCAGUCUAUCUUACCCGUGGAUUAGUAUAGUUUAAAUAGAUAUUAGUGUUAUAAGAAUGUGUUUAGACUUUAUGUAAUGCCUGGUGAAAUCUAAUUAUAGAAUGUAGGGGAGCAGUUGCCCCACUUUGGCAGACAAAGGGUUAAUAGCAGCCCUUGGAGCAGCUGCUCAGAACAAGGCCAAUCAGAGAAGGCUUGGAAGCAGCCAAUCAGGACCAGGCUGGGCCCUAUAUAAAGGCUGCAAAGCAGAAGACACAGAAGUCUCUCCUUGACAAGCAAGGGAGGGCUGGCUCCCAGGGAUAGCACCUUGGAUAGAGCAGAGCAGGGCUGGGCAGGCUCAGGGGAGCAGAGGAAAAGCUCCAGCCUCAUACCUGCCAGGCUGAGGCCCCUGACGGAAAGGGCCAAGAAGGUGCAGGACUGAAGGGAAGUGGCCCAGGGAGCGUGAGCAGUAGAGGGGAGAGGAAGAAGGCAGGACAUGGCUGCCACCAGAGGGUCCCUGGGCUGGGACCCAGAGUAGUGGGUGGGCCUAGGUUCCCCCCCAUCCCCCUUACACUGCACCUGGCUAUGGAGGAGCGUGACCCGAUACAGACUAUUGCCCCUGUGGCAAGGGGAUACACUUUGUGGCUGCAGUUGGCUAUGAGCGCAGGUGCAGCCUGAUACCCUGGAAGGGGAGAGAACUGAGUGGGGCAGAGCUGGAGGGCUGUGUCCAGAAGAGGAUGCUGCAAGCCAGGGAGCAACGUGGGUUCCAGACAGCACAGCAGAUCAGACAACAGGCCAGACACCACCUGCAGAGGGCGCUCCACAACUGGACAGAAUUAAUUCCUGGAGCAACCAGCAGGAGGCGCUGCUGUGGUGAUUUGGCGCUCCGUUACAUAGAACAUACAACCAAUCUGGAGGUUCUGCCCGGGUUUUUGGCUAUCUGCCCUAAAGAUGGCACUCACGGUCAAGAGCCACUCGUGCCAGCAUCACAGUGGGUCUUAAGGAGGGACUUGCAGGAGGAGAGGAUAGUGGCUUCACACACAAGGAGUAACGUGGAACAGAGGAAAGCCUAAUCUUUAUAAGGGCCCAGCAGUGCUUGCCUUCAUGACCACAGUCUAGCUCUCCAGCUCCCUCUGUGAUCCAGCUCUUUCUCCUCCCAGGAGCCAGCCAACAAUCCUUCUCAGGAGCCAACGAGUGAUCUUUCCCACUCCUCUCCAGGAGCCAGCUGUCACAUUCAAACACCCAGAGUUCUGAAUGAGCAGUCCAGGUGGAGUUUCUGACUGGAAGUUCAAGCUUCUGUGUGUCUCUGUGCAUGCAAUGAUAUAUGUUCCUUUUGAUCUUUGUCCAACAUUAUACCUCAGUCACA
Long non-coding RNA from Chelonia mydas (Green sea turtle), 3194 nucleotides. RefSeq lists it as uncharacterized. The transcript has 2 exons. The record is from RefSeq and is a predicted model, not a curated record. NCBI's taxonomy places the organism in Eukaryota, Metazoa, Chordata, Testudines, Cheloniidae.